CCAGACUCCUACGGGAGGCAGCAGUGGGGAAUAUUGCACAAUGGGGGAAACCCUGAUGCAGCGACGCCGCGUGAGCGAUGAAGUAUUUCGGUAUGUAAAGCCCUAUCAGCAGGGAAGAAAAUGACGGUACCUGACUAAGAAGCCCCGGCUAACUACGUGCCAGCAGCCGCGGUAAUACGUAGGGGGCAAGCGUUAUCCGGAUUUACUGGGUGUAAAGGGAGCGUAGACGGCCAGACAAGUCAGAAGUGAAAGCCCAGGGCUCAACCCUGGGACUGCUUUUGAAACUGCCGGGCUGGAGUGCAGGAGAGAUAAGCGGAAUUCCUAGUGUAGCGGUGAAAUGCGUAGAUAUUAGGAGGAACACCAGUGGCGAAGGCGGCUUACUGGACUGUAACUGACGUUGAGGCUCGAAAGCGUGGGGAGCAAACAGGAUUAGAUACCCCUGUAUCC
RNAcentral lists this ribosomal RNA (447 nucleotides) under uncultured bacterium. Its description in RNAcentral is "bacterial SSU rRNA". It matches the Rfam family "Bacterial small subunit ribosomal RNA", at positions 331 to 795 of the family's 1533-position model. The record is from RNAcentral.